This 74-nucleotide transfer RNA is filed under the name Perkinsus olseni. Its description in RNAcentral is "tRNA-Arg". It matches the Rfam family "tRNA". Rfam says of the family: Transfer RNA (tRNA) molecules are approximately 80 nucleotides in length. Lineage: Eukaryota; Perkinsozoa; Perkinsida; Perkinsidae. The record is from RNAcentral.
GCUCUGGUGGCUCAAUCGGAUAGAGCGUUGGAAUUCUAAUCCAAAGGUUGCGGGUUCAAUUCCCGCUCAGAGUA